GGAGAGGUGCCAGAGUGGACGAUUGGGCGCGCCUGGAGAGCGCGUGCACUCCAAAAGGGUGCCGGGGGUUCGAAUCCCUCCCUCUCCGCCA
This 91-nucleotide transfer RNA is filed under the name Lentisphaerota bacterium. RNAcentral describes it as "Lentisphaerae bacterium (anaerobic digester metagenome) tRNA-Ser". It matches the Rfam family "tRNA". Rfam says of the family: Transfer RNA (tRNA) molecules are approximately 80 nucleotides in length. The record is from RNAcentral. Lineage: Bacteria; Pseudomonadati; Lentisphaerota. RNAcentral also lists the same sequence under 1 other name.